This 253-nucleotide ribosomal RNA is filed under the name uncultured bacterium. Its description in RNAcentral is "partial 16S ribosomal RNA". It matches the Rfam family "Bacterial small subunit ribosomal RNA", at positions 524 to 776 of the family's 1533-position model. The record is from RNAcentral.
UACGUACUGUGCGAACGUUAUUCGGAAUCACUGGGCUUAAAGGGUGCGUAGGCGGCCUGUUAAGUAGGGUGUGAAAUGCCAGAGCUCAACUUUGGCAUUGCGCUCUAGACUGGCUGGCUUGAGUGAGAUAGGGGUGUGCGGAACUUCCAGUGGAGCGGUGAAAUGUGUUGAUAUUGGAAGGAACGCCGGUGGCGAAAGCGGCACACUGGGUCUUAACUGACGCUGAGGCACGAAAGCCAGGGGAGCGAACGGG